CCCCCCGUUGAAACGGGGGGCUAUUUUCUGUCGUCCCUGCCGGGACU
This is a small RNA of Planctomyces sp. SH-PL14, 47 nucleotides long. It matches the Rfam family "Acido-Lenti-1 RNA". The record is from Rfam. NCBI's taxonomy places the organism in Bacteria, Pseudomonadati, Planctomycetota, Planctomycetia, Planctomycetales, Planctomycetaceae.